Molecule: long non-coding RNA, 1972 nt
Organism: Polypterus senegalus (gray bichir)
Lineage: Eukaryota; Metazoa; Chordata; Cladistia; Polypteriformes; Polypteridae
Exons: 9
Source: RefSeq, a predicted model, not a curated record
UUGUUGUAGUAAACUGCAUGGGAAGAAAAGGGAGAAAAAAGAUGGUGUUGCAUUCACUAAAGAAGUCGUUUUGCUUCCUGAUGAGAGAUCCAAUUCGGUACCUAGGUGAGGAAAGAAGGCAUGGCUUUUCAAAAGUGGUCAUGUGAAAUCUGCCGUCGAGUUUAGAGUAGCCUUUCAACCCCUUUUGGACAACUGCCGGGUUGAGUUUUUAUUUGGAUGCCACAAGAAGCUGGUAACACCGUCAUUUACAGCUAGCCAAACAAUGAGUGGGUACAUGCUGAAAAUAAUAUUCCACCAAAGGACUGUGUAUUUAUGACCAGACAAAACCCUUCUGACCUCUGAAGAUGCUGGAGAAGAGGAAGCAAUUAAGGAACAGGUGUAUAUAUCUGAUGAAGAUGAUGAUCUGCAAGACGCCAUAAACAGAUCUCUUCUAGAAUCAAACGCAUUUCUAGCUGAUGCACACAUCUAUGGAAGCCAUUUUGCAUUCACUUUCUAAAAGCUUGAACCGGGAGGAAGUUCGCUUCAAUAUAAUGCGUAAAAACGUUUGGGAUGGAACCAAGCGGGCAAUGGCCAGAGCUAACUUCUCCCCUUAAAAAAGAAUUGAUGUCAAAUUUACAGAUGACCUUGAUGUUUCUGAAGGAGCAAUUGGUCUAGGAGGGCCUAAACGAGAAUUUUUCCGACGUGUUCUUUUGUAUUUAAGAGAAGAAAGUGGUAUUUCUGAGGGGCCCGAUGAAGCAAAGAUUUUAAAUUGCAACACUGAAGCUUUAAAGGCAAGUACCUGUAUGUACUUCCAUACAGGUCAAAUUUUGGCAAUGAUAGUAGUUCAUGGAGGACCACCACCUUGCUUCCUUUCACUAGUCUUGUAUGAAGCUUUAAUCAGGGGUGAGAGAGUUAACAUUGAUCAUGUUUUUGACCAAGAAGUACAUGGACAACUGAAAGCAAUAAAUGAUGCCACCACAGAUGAAGACCUGUCUAAUUCUGUUGAGUUGGCUGCAAGCAUUCAGAGUCUCUCAGGCUGCUUCAAAAAAGUUGACCACCACAACAAGGGAGAUGUAGUUUUGCAUGUUGCUCAUUGGUAUGUUUUCCAGCGAACAAGAAGCCAUUUUGAAAGAUGUCUCCACAUAUUACAGGUGCCUUUGUGACAGUUUCUACCAUUAUCAGGAAUGGAAAGAUGGAGUACAUAAUUUUGAUGACGACAUCAUUAUGAGCAUCCAUGUCUUUUUUUGCAUAAUUCAAUUCAGAAUCACACAGCUGUUGAAAAGGUCAUAAGCAGCCUUGAGAAAACAAAUGAAAUGCCCUACCCAAGUCAUAAUGCCAUAUUGCAUGCAUACGUACAUUUUGAGGCAGUGACAUCCCAUGAGUAUAAUUUCUCUUGUGUGCACUGUGGGCAUCAUCCUCCUAUUGUUAACAUGGACUUGCACAUAAAGGGUGUCUUUAAAAUGGCUGGUAAGGAUUUCAUGAAUACAUGCAUACCUGCUUGAGCCCGUUCUUUGCAGAGGACAGCAGGACAUUGGUCCCAGAGUGGACAUGGAAGAUUUUUCCGUGGAAAGAGAAAUUCUUGGCAGAGGCUUUCUGAAAUGUAAGCUCAUGUCUUUUUUUACUUGUCAUCAGUUGCAUGAAUGUAUGUUGAAAAGUCUUGUUUUUUUUUUCCCAUCUUUAUCCAGGCAACCGUCUGUUAAUAUGUAUAAUAAGUAUGUUAAUAUUUUACAUUGAAGAUAACCCACUUGAAGGUCUUUGUUUCUUUCAUAGUGUAUAUAAACACAGGAAAUUCCAGUUUCUGUAUUACAACUUGCCUGAAGAAGGGACCUGAGCUGCCUCAAAAGCUUGCAUACUGUGAUCCAUUUAGUUGGCCAAUAAAAGAUGUCAUUUUGCGUCACUUCUCAUCUCAUCUGACACAGAAAUACAACUCUUAAAGGCCUUAGAAUAUUUUAAAUGCAUUGUGUACUAUGUUUUUUAUAGUGUAUUGUAAGAA